Molecule: ribosomal RNA, 397 nt
Filed under: uncultured bacterium
Lineage: Bacteria
Description: partial 16S ribosomal RNA
Rfam family: Bacterial small subunit ribosomal RNA
Source: RNAcentral
AUACGUAGGUGGCAAGCGUUAUCCGGAUUUACUGGGUGUAAAGGGCGUGUAGGCGGGAUGGUAGGUCAGAUGUGAAAUACCGCAGCUUAACUGCGGGGCUGCAUUUGAAACCCCCAUUCUUGAGUGUUGGAGAGGUAAGUGGAAUUCCUAGUGUAGCGGUGAAAUGCGUAGAUAUUAGGAGGAACACCAGUGGCGAAGGCGAAUUACGGGCCAAUAAGUGAAGCUGAGGCCCGAAAGCGUGGGGAGAAAACAGGAUUAGAUAACCGGGUAGUCCACGCCGUAAACGAUGGAUACUAGGUGUAGGGGGUAUCGCCUCCCCCUGUGCCGCAGUUAACACAAUAAGUAUCCCACCUGGGGAGUACGGCCGCAAGGCUGAAACUCAAAGGAAUUGACGGGG